Molecule: ribosomal RNA, 468 nt
Filed under: uncultured bacterium
Lineage: Bacteria
Description: partial 16S ribosomal RNA
Rfam family: Bacterial small subunit ribosomal RNA
Source: RNAcentral
GACGAACGCUGGCGGCGUGCUUAACACAUGCAAGUCGAACGGAAAGGCCCUGCUUUUGUGGGGUGCUCGAGUGGCGAAAGGGUGAGUAACACGUGAGUAACCUGCCCUUGACUUUGGGAUAACUUCAGGAAACUGGGGCUAAUACCGGAUAGGAGCUCCUGCUGCAUGGUGGGGGUUGGAAAGUUUCGGCGGUUGGGGAUGGACUCGCGGCUUAUCAGCUUGUUGGUGGGGUAGUGGCUUACCAAGGCUUUGACGGGUAGCCGGCCUGAGAGGGUGACCGGCCACAUUGGGACUGAGAUACGGCCCAGACUCCUACGGGAGGCAGCAGUGGGGAAUAUUGCACAAUGGGCGGAAGCCUGAUGCAGCAACGCCGCGUGCGGGAUGACGGCCUUCGGGUUGUAAACCGCUUUCGCAUGUGACGAAGCGUGAGUGACGGUAAUGGGUAAAGAAGCACCGGCUAACUACGUG